GUUGGAAGAGGAGGAAUUGUGAUUACUUCCAGGUUGCAGGAUGCUUCAGCUAUGUGUGUACAUAGAGAAAACUGGCAGAAGAAAGGGAAGAUUAAAUGAACAUUUAAAAAAUUAUGGCGAAGUGUACAGAAGAUACAAAUAGUCAACCGUUUUUGGGGGGAAAGAGGUGUUGGAGAUUGAACCCAGGGAUGCUCUACCAUUGAGCUACAUGCUAUCCUUAGCCUUUUUUGCUUAAUUUUUUUUGAGACAGGGUUGCCCACGAUGGCCUUGAACUUAGAACUCCCUGUAGGGGAGGGGCAAUCCCUGGGACAGGUUACCAUAGCAACAGGUUGGAGCAGGGCAGGUUAUCUCGAUAAGGGUGGAGGAAGGGCUCUGAAGGCAUUUCAGUUCCCCAGGGGGCAGUCUCCAAAUUCCUAGACUUAAACAGGUCUUGAUCAGACCUGACUCAAUUUACCUGUCUAUAUUGACUGCCUGUCUGAUUCUAGCUUCACAGGCAUUUCUCCCAUCUUCCAAGCAGGAACAAGUUGAAAUGGCACAGAGGCAUAUAUCACCUGAGGAAGCAGUUUGUUUCCCAUAAUUUCCCACAGAGAACACUUUGUUUUCUCCUCAUGAGCCAGGAGGGUUUUCCUGGUCACGUUUUGUUGCAGUGAAAUUGGAAUCAGGGAUUGAUACCAGGAGGGUUCAACCACUGAGCUACAUCCCC
RNAcentral lists this long non-coding RNA (703 nucleotides) under Marmota monax (woodchuck). Lineage: Eukaryota; Metazoa; Chordata; Mammalia; Rodentia; Sciuridae. The record is from RNAcentral.